This 954-nucleotide ribosomal RNA is filed under the name Triticum aestivum (bread wheat). Its description in RNAcentral is "partial small subunit ribosomal RNA". The record is from RNAcentral. Lineage: Eukaryota; Viridiplantae; Streptophyta; Magnoliopsida; Poales; Poaceae.
AUGUGGACCUGUCUUCGUCAGCGCUAUGAGCCCUCUGGUGAUGCCUUAUACCUUUCUGUGGUUCGUCAGGAGCAUGCUCUUCAGCAGGGUGACUCUACUGUUGAUGACUUUUAUGCACAGAGUUCUGCUAUCUGGCGCCAGCUUGGUUCUCUCCGCGGUGCUGGUUGUCGUACUUGCCCCUGCUGCCAGGCUGUCCAGGCCGAUUUGGAGUUUCAUCGCGUCUACGAGUUCCUGUCUCGGCUCCGUAAGGAGUUUGAGCCCCGGCGUGCUCAGUUGCUUGCUCGUGGCCGUAUUUCUCUCAUGGAGGCGCUUUCAGAGAUUCGUGCUGAGGAGACUCGCCUACGUGGUGCUGGUUUGCUGGAGGUUCCCUCUGUGCUCGCUACUCGGGUUUCUUCCACUCCACCUGCUGCACCGCCCCAUUCUCGCUCGGGUGCUCCGCCGCUCUUGCCCACUCCUUCUGGAGGCUCAGGUCGGCCCCGUUCACAUUGUGACUACUGCAACAAUGAUGGUCAUAUUGAGUCCCAGUGCUACACAAAGCGGAAACACCUGCGCAAGGCGCGAUCAUCCUCCUCAGGGACUUCGUCAUCUCCCUCGCCAGCUUCAGCCAUUGGACUCGCUGGAUCUGGCAUGGGCGGAUCGCGGCGGCUAUUGGCGGCGAGGGCUUGGGGGCGACGGCAGGGCUCAGUCUCGCGGUUUCCCCUGGUGUGCGUGGGAGUCCGCUCGAGGCGCGCGGCGGCGGCCCUCGGCAAGCGGUGGCGGGCGCUGGGCUCUCGGCAGCGCUCCGGCGUGUGCAGGCGGCGGUGGUCCAUGUGCGCGGUCGGCGGCUCCGUCUCUGACCCGGACGGUGCGGGGGAUGGCGGCGGCCCGGCGUGGCCGGCGAUCUGGAUGCACCACCGCCGGCGGCUCGCUGAUCUGCCGAUGCUCCAGGGUUCUGCCUGGUGGUGCUGGUGGUGA